RNAcentral lists this unclassified non-coding RNA (485 nucleotides) under Bombus terrestris (buff-tailed bumblebee). RNAcentral's name for it is "misc RNA ENSBTSG00005029835.1". The record is from RNAcentral. Lineage: Eukaryota; Metazoa; Arthropoda; Insecta; Hymenoptera; Apidae.
AAUGGCGGAUACAAGUGUAGCGAUCGCCGAAUUCAAAGAUCGAGGCAUUAGACGGAAGGGAGCCGGACGGUCGCGUCGUUUUGGCUAGACGUCUUCGUCCCUGUACCACGGUCGGAGAAUUCGAAGCUGGUACAAUAGGGGGCGAGCCGCGGACAGGCUAUGUUUCAUUCUAGUACGUUUCACGAUUCUACCGGCAAAAGAAUACUUGCACCACGGUAAUUGGAAGGCAUCAAUCUUCGUAGGAAGAAGUAUAACGAUCCUCGGUGAUAUAGUUUCCGUUGUUCGAAGGUCUCGAGGCUCGUUGGAACAGGGACCCGAUUGGGCGAGUACAAACCAAUCAUUUGACCUAUUGGAUCCGAGAAAGGGUGGAAGGGAUCUACGGGGGAGGGAAGAGCGGGAAAAAGGAGAUCGGCUCGUUCGACAAAGGGACUCCGAAUAAAUGAGACCGUCGAUAUAAACCGACGUGGAAAGCGCGCUUAGACAGG